UACGGGGGGGGCAAGCGUUGUUCGGAAUUACUGGGCGUAAAGGGCUCGUAGGCGGCCAACUAAGUCCGACGUGAAAUCCCCAGGCUUAACCUGGGAACUGCGUCGGAUACUGGAUGGCUUGAAUUCGGGAGAGGGAUGCAGAAUUCCAGGUGUAGCGGUGAAAUGCGUAGAUAUCAAGAGGAACACCUGCGGCGAAGGCGGGUUGCUGGGCCGACACUGACGCUGAAGCGCGAAAGCCAGGGGAGCGAACGGG
Molecule: ribosomal RNA, 253 nt
Filed under: uncultured bacterium
Lineage: Bacteria
Description: partial 16S ribosomal RNA
Rfam family: Bacterial small subunit ribosomal RNA
Source: RNAcentral